CGGUAAUUCCAGCUCCAAUAGCGUAUAUUAAAGUUGUUGCGGUUAAAAAGCUCGUAGUUGGAGUUCUGCCAGGUGACGCUCGUCCGCCCAAGUGGUGUGUACAGGGCGUGCAUCUGGCCCUUUCAAGGGGAACGUGUCUGCACUUCAUUGUGUGGUGCGAGAUCCUUGACUUUUACUUUGAGGAAAUAAGAGUGUUCCAAGCAGGCUCUCGUCGUGCAUAGCUCAGCAUGGAAUAAUAGCAUUGGACUUCGUUUCUAAGCUGUUGGUUGCAAGAAGCGAGGUAAUGAUGAAGAGGGAUAAUUGGGGGCACUCGUACUAGAACGUCAGAGGUGGAAUUCUUAGAUUGUUGUAUGACGUACUACUGCGAAAGCAUUCACCAAGGAUGUUUUCAUUGAUCAAGAACGAAAGUUUGGGGAUCGAAGAUGAUUAGAUACCAUCGUAGUCCAAACCAUAAACUAUGCCAACUAGGGAUUGGAGGUCGUUCUUUUUAUGACUCCUUCAGCACCUUAUGAGAAAUCAAAGUCUUUGGGUUCCGGGGGGAGUAUGGUCGCAAGGUCGAAACUUAAAGGAAUUGACGGAGGGACACCACCAGGGGUGGAACUUGCGGCUUAAUUUGACUCAACACGGGGAAACUUACCAGGUCCAGACAUAGUGAGGAUUGACAGAUUGAGAGCUCUUUCUUGAUUCUGUGGGUGGUGGUGCAUGGCCGUUCUUAGUUGGUGGGAUGACCUGUCUUCUUAAUUGCGAUAACGAACGAGACCUUAACCUGCUAAAUACGAAUCAGUAUCUUCGGAUAUCGAUCUUUCUUCUUAGAGGGACUAUACUUGUGUUUAACGUGUGGAAGUUUGAGGCAAUAACAGGUCUGUGAUGCCCUUAGAUGUUCUGGGCUGCACGCGCGCUACACUGAUGCGUUCAGCGAGUUUAUAACCUUGCCCGAGAGGGUUGGGUAAUCUUUUGAAAACGCAUCGUGAUGGGGAUAGAUUAUUGUAAUUAUUAAUCUUCAACGAGGAAUUCCUAGUAAGCGCGAGUCAUCAGCUCGUGCUGAUUACGUCCCUGCCCUUUGUACACACCGCCCGUCGCUCCUACCGAUUGAGUGUUCCGGUGAGUAAUUCGGACCGGCGCGAUUCUCGGUUCGCCGAUUUUUGUACUGGAAAGUCUAGUAAACCUUAUCACUUAGAGGAAGCAGAAGUCGUAACAAGG
This 1200-nucleotide ribosomal RNA is filed under the name uncultured eukaryote. RNAcentral describes it as "partial small subunit ribosomal RNA". It matches the Rfam family "Eukaryotic small subunit ribosomal RNA", at positions 577 to 1799 of the family's 1831-position model. The record is from RNAcentral.